GGGGCUGUAGCUCAGCUGGGAGAGCGCGGCGUUCGCAAUGCCGAGGUCAGGAGUUCGAUCCUCCUCAGCUCCACCA
Molecule: transfer RNA, 76 nt
Filed under: Paracoccaceae bacterium
Lineage: Bacteria; Pseudomonadati; Pseudomonadota; Alphaproteobacteria; Rhodobacterales; Paracoccaceae
Also listed under: 2 other names
Description: Rhodobacteraceae bacterium (activated sludge metagenome) tRNA-Ala
Rfam family: tRNA
About the family: Transfer RNA (tRNA) molecules are approximately 80 nucleotides in length.
Source: RNAcentral